AUGCUUGUCCUUGUAGCAGCUGUUGUACCAUCUGUUUCAUUUCAGCAUCAGGAGCAGCAAGACCUUGGUUUU
This 72-nucleotide small RNA is filed under the name Arabidopsis thaliana (thale cress). RNAcentral describes it as "ATSL090780". The record is from RNAcentral. Lineage: Eukaryota; Viridiplantae; Streptophyta; Magnoliopsida; Brassicales; Brassicaceae.